GUCUUAGUGGCGGACGGGUGAGUAACGCGUGGGCAACCUGCCUCGCACCGUGGGAUAACAGGGGGAAGCUCCUGCUAAUACCGCAUAAAGUAUAUAGACGCAUGUCAAUAUACAAAAAGGGAUACCGGUGAGAGAUGGGCCCGCGUCCGAUUAGAUAGUUGGCAGGAUAGCAGCCUACCAAGUCAACGAUCGGUAGCCGGCUUGAGAGAGUGGACGGCCACACUGGGACUGAGACACGGCCCAGACUCC
RNAcentral lists this ribosomal RNA (249 nucleotides) under uncultured bacterium. RNAcentral's name for it is "partial 16S ribosomal RNA". It matches the Rfam family "Bacterial small subunit ribosomal RNA", at positions 89 to 339 of the family's 1533-position model. The record is from RNAcentral.